Molecule: ribosomal RNA, 538 nt
Filed under: Salmonella enterica
Lineage: Bacteria; Pseudomonadati; Pseudomonadota; Gammaproteobacteria; Enterobacterales; Enterobacteriaceae
Also listed under: 4 other names
Description: partial 23S ribosomal RNA
Rfam family: Bacterial large subunit ribosomal RNA
Source: RNAcentral
AGACCCGAAACCCGGUGAUCUAGCCAUGGGCAGGUUGAAGGUUGGGUAACACUAACUGGAGGACCGAACCGACUAAUGUUGAAAAAUUAGCGGAUGACCUGUGGCUGGGGGUGAAAGGCCAAUCAAACCGGGAGAUAGCUGGUUCUCCCCGAAAGCUAUUUAGGUAGCGCCUCGUGAAUUCAUCUCCGGGGGUAGAGCACUGUUUCGGCUAGGGGGCCAUCCCGGCUUACCAACCCGAUGCAAACUGCGAAUACCGGAGAAUGUUAUCACGGGAGACACACGGCGGGUGCUAACGUCCGUCGUGAAGAGGGAAACAACCCAGACCGCCAGCUAAGGUCCCAAAGUCAUGGUUAAGUGGGAAACGAUGUGGGAAGGCCCAGACAGCCAGGAUGUUGGCUUAGAAGCAGCCAUCAUUUAAAGAAAGCGUAAUAGCUCACUGGUCGAGUCGGCCUGCGCGGAAGAUGUAACGGGGCUAAACCAUGCACCGAAGCUGCGGCAGCGACGCUUAUGCGUUGUUGGGUAGGGGAGCGUUCUGUAA